UACGUAGGUCCCGAGCGUUGUCCGGAUUUAUUGGGCGUAAAGCGAGCGCAGGUGGUUUAUUAAGUCUGGUGUAAAAGGCAGUGGCUCAACCAUUGUAUGCAUUGGAAACUGGUAGACUUGAGUGCAGGAGUGGAGAGUGGAAUUCCAUGUGUAGCGGUGAAAUGCGUAGAUAUAUGGAGGAACACCGGUGGCGAAAGCGGCUCCCUGGCCUGUAACUGACACUGAGGCUCGAAAGCGUGGGGAGCAAACAGG
This 252-nucleotide ribosomal RNA is filed under the name uncultured bacterium. Its description in RNAcentral is "partial 16S ribosomal RNA". It matches the Rfam family "Bacterial small subunit ribosomal RNA", at positions 524 to 776 of the family's 1533-position model. The record is from RNAcentral.